GGUUAAGCGACUAAGCGUACACGGUGGAUGCCCUGGCAGUCAGAGGCGAUGAAGGACGUGCUAAUCUGCGAAAAGCGUCGGUAAGGUGAUAUGAACCGUUAUAACCGGCGAUGUCCGAAUGGGGAAACCCAGUGUGAUUCGUCACACUAUCGUUAACUGAAUACAUAGGUUAACGAGGCGAACCGGGGGAACUGAAACAUCUAAGUACCCCGAGGAAAAGAAAUCAACCGAGAUUCCCCCAGUAGCGGCGAGCGAACGGGGAGCAGCCCAGAGUCUGAAUCAGCUUGUGUGUUAGUGGAACGGUCUGGAAAGUCCGACGGUACAGGGUGAUAGUCCCGUACACCAAAAUGCACAGGUUGUGAACUCGAAGAGUAGGGCGGGACACGUGGUAUCCUGUCUGAAUAUGGGGGGACCAUCCUCCAAGGCUAAAUACUCCUGACUGACCGAUAGUGAACCAGUACCGUGAGGGAAAGGCGAAAAGAACCCCGGCGAGGGGAGUGAAAAAGAACCUGAAACCGUGUACGUACAAGCAGUGGGAGCACCUUCGGGUGUGACUGCGUACCUUUUGUAUAAUGGGUCAGCGACUUAUAUUCUGUAGCAAGGUUAACCGUAUAGGGGAGCCGCAGGGAAACCGAGUCUUAACUGGGCGUUAAGUUGCAGGGUAUAGACCCGAAACCCGGUGAUCUAGCCAUGGGCAGGUUGAAGGUUGGGUAACACUAACUGGAGGACCGAACCGACUAAUGUUGAAAAAUUAGCGGAUGACUUGUGGCUGGGGGUGAAAGGCCAAUCAAACCGGGAGAUAGCUGGUUCUCCCCGAAAGCUAUUUAGGUAGCGCCUCGUGAACUCAUCUUCGGGGGUAGAGCACUGUUUCGGCUAGGGGGUCAUCCCGACUUACCAACCCGAUGCAAACUACGAAUACCGAAGAAUGUUAUCACGGGAGACACACGGCGGGUGCUAACGUCCGUCGUGAAGAGGGAAACAACCCAGACCGCCAGCUAAGGUCCCAAAGUCAUGGUUAAGUGGGAAACGAUGUGGGAAGGCACAGACAGCCAGGAUGUUGGCUUAGAAGCAGCCAUCAUUUAAAGAAAGCGUAAUAGCUCACUGGUCAAGUCGGCCUGCGCGGAAGAUGUAACGGGGCUAAACCAUGCACCGAAGCUGCGGCAGCGACACUAUGUGUUGUUGGGUAGGGGAGCGUUCUGUAAGCCUGCGAAGGUGACCUGUGAGGGUUGCUGGAGGUAUCAGAAGUGCGAAUGCUGACAUAAGUAACGAUAAAGCGGGUGAAAAGCCCGCUCGCCGGAAGACCAAGGGUUCCUGUCCAACGUUAAUCGGGGCAGGGUGAGUCGACCCCUAAGGCGAGGCCGAAAGGCGUAGUCGAUGGGAAACAGGUUAAUAUUCCUGUACUUGGUGUUACUGCGAAGGGGGGACGGAGAAGGCUAUGUUAGCCGGGCGACGGUUGUCCCGGUUUAAGCAUGUAGGCUGAUUGUCCAGGCAAAUCCGGAUAAUCAAGGCUGAGGUGUGAUGACGAGGCACUACGGUGCUGAAGUAACAAAUGCCCUGCUUCCAGGAAAAGCCUCUAAGCAUCAGGUAACAUCAAAUCGUACCCCAAACCGACACAGGUGGUCAGGUAGAGAAUACCAAGGCGCUUGAGAGAACUCGGGUGAAGGAACUAGGCAAAAUGGUGCCGUAACUUCGGGAGAAGGCACGCUGGUGUGUAGGUGAAGUCCCUGCGGAUGGAGCUGAGACCAGUCGAAGAUACCAGCUGGCUGCAACUGUUUAUUAAAAACACAGCACUGUGCAAACACGAAAGUGGACGUAUACGGUGUGACGCCUGCCCGGUGCCGGAAGGUUAAUUGAUGGGGUUAUCCGUAAGGAGAAGCUCUUGAUCGAAGCCCCGGUAAACGGCGGCCGUAACUAUAACGGUCCUAAGGUAGCGAAAUUCCUUGUCGGGUAAGUUCCGACCUGCACGAAUGGCGUAAUGAUGGCCAGGCUGUCUCCACCCGAGACUCAGUGAAAUUGAACUCGCUGUGAAGAUGCAGUGUACCCGCGGCAAGACGGAAAGACCCCGUGAACCUUUACUAUAGCUUGACACUGAACAUUGAGCCUUGAUGUGUAGGAUAGGUGGGAGGCUUUGAAGCGUGGACGCCAGUCUGCGUGGAGCCAACCUUGAAAUACCACCCUUUAAUGUUUGAUGUUCUAACGUUGGCCCCUGACCGGGGUUGCGGACAGUGUCUGGUGGGUAGUUUGACUGGGGCGGUCUCCUCCCAAAGCGUAACGGAGGAGCACGAAGGUUAGCUAAUCCUGGUCGGACAUCAGGAGGUUAGUGCAAUGGCAUAAGCUAGCUUGACUGCGAGCGUGACGGCGCGAGCAGGUGCGAAAGCAGGUCAUAGUGAUCCGGUGGUUCUGAAUGGAAGGGCCAUCGCUCAACGGAUAAAAGGUACUCCGGGGAUAACAGGCUGAUACCGCCCAAGAGUUCAUAUCGACGGCGGUGUUUGGCACCUCGAUGUCGGCUCAUCACAUCCUGGGGCUGAAGUAGGUCCCAAGGGUAUGGCUGUUCGCCAUUUAAAGUGGUACGCGAGCUGGGUUUAGAACGUCGUGAGACAGUUCGGUCCCUAUCUGCCGUGGGCGCUGGAGAAUUGAGGGGGGCUGCUCCUAGUACGAGAGGACCGGAGUGGACGCAUCACUGGUGUUCGGGUUGUCAUGCCAAUGGCACUGCCCGGUAGCUAAAUGCGGAAGAGAUAAGUGCUGAAAGCAUCUAAGCACGAAACUUGCCCCGAGAUGAGUUCUCCCUGAGACUUUAAGUCUCCUGAAGGAACGUUGAAGACGACGACGUUGAUAGGCCGGGUGUGUAAGCGCAGCGAUGCGUUGAGCUAACCGGUACUAAUGAACCGUGAGGCUUAACCUU
RNAcentral lists this ribosomal RNA (2902 nucleotides) under Klebsiella pneumoniae. RNAcentral's name for it is "23S ribosomal RNA". It matches the Rfam family "Bacterial large subunit ribosomal RNA". The record is from RNAcentral. Lineage: Bacteria; Pseudomonadati; Pseudomonadota; Gammaproteobacteria; Enterobacterales; Enterobacteriaceae.